RNAcentral lists this long non-coding RNA (11808 nucleotides) under Marmota monax (woodchuck). Lineage: Eukaryota; Metazoa; Chordata; Mammalia; Rodentia; Sciuridae. The record is from RNAcentral.
AGCAAAGCCAGAGGUAUUAAAAAAAGAAAAAGAAGAACAUGACUAUAGAUAUCAUUCUAUAAAGUACUUUGCUAGAAUCAGCUCAUUAAUCCUGUCAGCAACCCCACAAGCAGAUGCUGUUUUUAUUCUCAUUUUACAGAGGAGGAAAUCAAGAUAGAGAGUUCAAGUGGCUUGCUGAGACUCAUGUUUCCUGCUGAUGGCCGUGCCCAGAUUCAAGCUCAGUGUAACACCAAACCUCACCCUCCACUGCCCUUGAGAAACAGCAAUCCCGGUAAAGGCAUUGGCAGGACCAGGUAACUUAAAAGAAAUGUUUGUGUGUCUGCCUGUCCUGGUUGGGAAGGAAGUUUCUGAGAUAUGGCAUGCCAAACAAUUAAUAGUUUCAUAUCUGUGAAAGAUUUCCUAGUGCAACUGAGCUCAGUGAGCUGCAUAUUUUAUAAAAAGGACAUAAUUCUACUGAUAAUUAUUUUUCCUGCAAAGAAAUAAGUCAUUUUUUUUUUUUUUUGCAAGUAUAGAAGGUGAAACUUAUUGUCAGAACACUGACAUUUACCUCUAUAAAUUUAAACAGUUCCUGAAGGUCAUGGGAAACAAGUGACAAAGAGAAUGGUUCUGUCUGAAAAUAAAAUGAUCAUAUAAAAGCUCCUUUGGAAUGCUAACAUUCUAUUAAAGCGUAACUAACAUAUUUAAACCAUUAUUGUGCCAUUGUAAAUAUGCUUUUAGAUUUUUAUAUUACAGACAACUUCCUGAACUCUAUUAUUUUGCAAAAUCAAAUCAUUAUUUUGGUGAAAAUAAUGAUAGGUAGGGUUUGUUGGUAGAUGUAUCAGCGAUUGUCUUGCAACUUGAAUGCAGUCAUUGGGAGCCCAGGGUUUUUGUAAUGAAGACUGUCGAUCUAGUCUUUUUGAGACAACCUGUAUGAUGUUGCCACAUUUACACUGUAAACACUUGAACAUAUAAAUUUCUAAGAUAGCUUAUUCUGGUGUUUUUAGCUGAACUUCUAAUCAUCAAGAGGCCAAGAUUCCAUGGUAAAUGAAAGACGUCAAUAGUAAGGGAAUGUGCCUUCUUACACAUCACUCAGAAUGUUUUACCACAGCAUAAUAUCCUUUUUAUUAUUGAGCAAGCCAAUGAUGUCCAAGCUCAUCGUAAGGCCCAUCUGCCGUUUUAUUCCUUAUCUCUCCAGAAACGAGACAGAUGAUGCAGCAUACUCAGGAUCCACAUUUCCUAAAUGUUUAACAUUGUACAAGCUAAAUGGAACUUUGAUUCAAUGUGUUAAAAGUCAGCUAUUUACAAGACACAUCGAUGGUUACUGCAAAUAAAUAAAGCUGCUAAUUGAUUAUGCAUGCUCAAAAUACCCUUUUAGAGUGUAUCAGAAGUAGAGAGGGCUACCUGGGAGCAUUAUACCUGGAAGGGAGAUUGUACACAAAACUUAGCUCAAGGAGACCAUGUUCCUGGGUUCACUCAAAUGAGUGAAUAUGAUGAAUAUUUAUUGUGCAGCUAUACUGUGCCUAUGUCUAAAUACAGGCUCCGAAUAAUUCAGUGGUCAUUCAACAUGUAAUUAAAAGAGUUGCUGUCACAUACCAGGCAUUGCACUGAGUGUGGGGGACUCAAUAUAGAGCAAUACAGACUCAGUCUUUGCCUCAAGAAGGUACAUUUAGAGGGGAGACUACAAACAUAAACACGGAGAAGGCUCAGGCCAACUGUUUCCAGGUUUAGGUAUCUUCUCUUCCAGACUCUCUUUCCUCUUUUCUCCAUCCAACUGUGCACCCAGGAAGUUGAUCUGUGAGCACAACAUAAUGGACUCCUUUUCUCUGUGGCUGUGUGUUGUACUUGUCCAGCAGUGGCCAAAGACUGAAGGUAGAGAAUAUGGUGAGAUCGGUUUCUUCCCUACAUGGUAGCUGCAGGCUGGCUGAGCCCAUCUAAGAAAACCUUACAGCUUCUUUCAACUAGCCCUUUCUGCACUAAUUUCUAGUACAUGCUUUCUCUUUUGGCCCCUUUAGACCUUUAGGUUGACCUACUGUUAUUAGCCUCUAGAUACUGCCAUGUUCAUGUAUUUUUCCUCACCCUGCUCACAUACCUUAAAAAUGGCACCUUUAUUCAUCUGUCUUUGUUUCCAUGCGUGCGUAACAUUUGUAUCCUGCUGACACUCAGACUGUACAAUCCCUAAACUAGCCACUGAAGUAGAGCCUUCUGUUUACCUACAGUAAAUCUUUGUAGGGAGAAGUCAGUACAGUUUUGAGGUUAACUUAUAGCACAGCUAUGCUUACAUAAUAUGGUGACUAACCCUGCUGAAGCAGGGUGUGAAGGUUUUAAGUACCAUUGAGAUCUACAGGAUCAGAAUAGGUAAUUUUAAGUAGUAUAAAUUUCUCUAAAUGAAAGUUUUGGAAAAGAAUAAAGUAUGGAAGUAGGCUACAUAAUUCAGGGAUGCUUCUACAUAUGACUCUGCUGUAUGCUCAGAAUUAGGCAAACAUGGCUGCUUAAAAUGAGAAUCUGCAAUAAAGAUGAUCCUUGGCACUAAUUCAUUAAUGGAUUAGGUAAAUUAGACACUGGAUAGGAGAUGUUCCUUAUUCUGACCCCUUGGGAGCUUCUGUUACAUAUACUGAGGGCCCAUGGCACUUUCCCUAGUAUGCAUAGAUAAAUAUUCAGAAAUAAUUUUUUUCCUUCCCUUUGUAUUGUUUUUCUUUAAGUAGAAAGUUGAAGCUUAUUGAGAUAUACAGCAGAGUCAUAUGUAGAAGUUAGAGUCUUGCCAGAAAUUUGGUUUAAGUUAUAUAAUUCAGAAGACUACACAAAUCUUCUAACGAUUAAAAUGAAAGCAUCAGAUAUUGGUUACCUUAGAUAGUGGGUUACUAUUAUUAUUAUUGAUAUUAUUAUUUUUAUUUUUCCUCAAUUUAUAGUUCAGACCCUCACAUAAACUGAAGGUACAAAAAGUAUUUACUGAAUGAAUGAGCAGAGUAAUGAUGAAAGGAAUAUGAAUAAAAACCAAAAUGAAUUCCAUUGGCUUUUCUUCAAAUUACUUGCAAAUUUAAUUUUUAGAUAAAUAUAUCAGAAUUUAUCCAGGUAAAUGAUUAUCAUUCUUCAAAGGAAUCACCUUGGGGGUGAGGUAGGAAGUAAGCAAGACUAUUUCAACAAUUCUACUUUUAUUCAAAGUAUUUUACCAAGUACCUUUUUCAGAGGCAGUAAUACAUUCUCUUAAAUAGUGGCAAAUCUGAGUCCUUUAUAAAAUGAUUCAUUUUUUUUAUUACUGUUAAAGUUAUGCAGAGUCAACUUUUGCAUGCAGGAUGAGUGAUCAAACUAGGUUAUUUAAACGAGGCAUGAUUAUAAAGUAAUGAUAACUUUUAAAAAUGAUAAGACUCAAAUGUAAUCAGAAAUAAUUGAAUUUCAACAUGUGGCAAUUCCAGAUAUAUUCUGUGCAAUACCAGAAACUGUUGAAAAUGUCGCACAAGAGUUGUCACAGAGGAUGAAGAAGAAUCAGACUCCAGAGCUUGGCAGAUGGACUUAAAUCCCUCCUUGGACAGUAAUCCACUGCAUGGAUCUUUGAGGCUAUGAUUCUAUCCACAACAAAGAAUGGUGUUGGCUACCUUAGGAGUCUGCUACUAGAGCUGGUCUGUGAUCUGUGCCAGAUACUCACCAUCCUCUUUACUUUCACCCUAGAAUGAUCUUGAAAAUAAUUUGCAGUUCUCAACUCAGGAAUGCACUGAAGUGUAUCCACUGUACUUGAGUUUGAAGGAAAAGACACAAGUUGUACAGCUGGAGCCAAGCAUGAAGAGACACACAGUGGAUAAGUGUUAAAAAGGUAAAAAGAUGGCUUCAACCUUAUCCUGUGGCUGCAGAAAGCAUCCUGUCAUCAUUCAUGCUCUGUAUAUAGCCAUCUCUUGGAAGUGUUUAUUUAGAAUAUGAUGGCAUUUGGCAAGGAACUAAGAUUUGGAGAUCCUCCAAUAGUUGGCUAAUACCUGCCUGGAUUCAAGAAGGCAUUAUGCCAAAGGGAGAUUCUUGGAAAAAUCAUUCUGUUUAUUUCUAAAAGACUUUCCACUAAAUCUCAGUAGAGUCUCCAUGCCAUAUAAUGCUGUGAGAAAGCCUUUAUUGUGGCCUAUACUCAUCAAGACGGCUGGACUCCUUGGUUCCAUGUCUGCAGGUCUACACCCUCAUCUCAGUUUUCCAUUUUAACACUAUGCUGGUGGGUCAAAUAGGUCCCAAAGAAAAGAAAAGAGAGUAUUUGUUUAUUUAUACUUCUUGUACCAAUAAUUCAGUAAUCUGGCCUAAAUUGUUCUUUGAGGCCAUCCCUGGAAAGUGACAAAUCUUUCAUGGAGUAGAAGGGUAGAGAUGAGCCCACACACAGUUGUCCCCAUGAAUCCUGUUUGUGCCAGCUCCCACUGCAAACUUCCUUUUCCAAUUGAAUCCGUUCAGAUUUUCAGUUCCAGCGCAGCCCUUGUUAGCUUUAUCAUCUCGAUGCCCUUUUUAUUAUCUGUGAGUAUUAAUCCUUGUAUCUGGAAAUGGAGAUCUCUCACUUCCUGAAGUUUGUUGCAGGGAGGGGGCUGUGUGUGACUCUCAUAAAGUGUUAACUCCCCUACAAAGCUUCUUUCAGGCUCAUUUGUUACCUCCCAUCGGGCACUUUGAUCUCAAAGAUCUUAAGAAAUUUUUGAUAUACACCAAGGCAAGAAAACUAAAGGGAGAAAAGUCAAAAGAAUAAAAGAGAAUCAACCAAAUAGAUAUAUUCUCAGAUAGAAGCAAUUAUCUUGUCUGUCCAGCAAUUCUCAUUUCCUUCUUCUGGUCACUUGUUCUGCACCCUUGGGUUUUGUUUUUUUUCACCCUUAAUGGUCUAAGAGUGAGCAAAGAAAUUCAAAGUGAUAUACCUUACUGUCUGACUUGAAUUGGUUGGUCUGGAAAGUGCUCUUCACUUCAAUUGGCCAAAUAAGAGAUCUCAUUGGUUGUUUAAUUUCCGGCAGAAGAAACAGCAGGGGUCUGUCAUUUUCUGGCUAGGACUUUGAAUGAUUGAAAAUUCCACACCUCCUGUUGGUGGGAAAAACUUUUCUAAGAAAAUAAAGCAACAUGUGAAGAGAAGAUAUAUAGCACAUUCUGGAGACAAUGGAAUUUCUAUUUCUACUUGUAUUCUAGGCUAUAUUUGUUCUUUUUGUGGUUACAAAUCAUCCAUUUUUUUGGGGGGGAGGGCUCAACUAAUUUCUUCUCCAGAAAGAAAUGUGACUUAGGAAAUCAUUUAAAAAAUAAACACUCCAUAAACCAUCAUUGUAGGGCCAACAGGAAGUGCAAGAAUUGCCCACUGGAGAUCCUGAAGUUGAACCUUGUUUCAGAGUGGAUAUUGUCCUUGCCUGGCUCUAUUGAGAACUAAAUUAGAAAGAAUUGAGGUCUGGGGCAAAGGAGAAAUUGGAAAGGAGGAGGCCUUCCAAAAGAAGCUGUUGACUCCUAUGAGCCAGUCACAGAGUGAGCAACAAAAAUAACAGACCAAGUUGAAGUACAGAGUCUUCAACUGCUCAUAAUCCAAUAGAGCAAGCACAUCAGAAGUAGUUGUAAGGAACAGGAUCUAUUUUGCAGAUGCUGAUACUCAGUUACUAAGAAGCCAGUGCCCCAAAGUAAGGGUGACUAUGACUCCACUAGCAGACAUGAAGGGUGCUGCGGAAGGGGUGGUGUAGAUACGGAUAAAAGGUUUUGCCACUCAAGACAAUGAGAUGAAUAAGAGCUUAUUACAAAGACAGUGUCUUAAUUCUUCAUUUGUAUCAUCUCCUGGUCCAAUGUCAAUACUUCUAGUUCAUGGGUGGGGCUCCCACAUUAACAAUAACACAAAGCCCAGUGAGGUUACAUCCCUAUUUUAGAACACAAAGCAUGAGAAAAACCAAAUUUAUACGAUCAUUAUGUUUGAACACUAAAGCAUUCUUCACUCUACAAAAGAUGUACCACAGCAUGUCUCUAAUCUAAACAGUAACCUCCUUCCAAUAUAGCUAAGUAUAAGUCAAUUUGUGUAUAGCCAUCCAGGAAAUGUCACUUACAUGAAGAAAGACAAACCAGUAAGAACAAAUAAAUUGUCCAAGGUGUUUAUCUUGCUGUACAUAAGAAUUCAAAGGUUGUACACAAGUUCACUUCUUUCCAGAUACAUCCUAUUUACUACUUUAAUAGUUCUGAGAUGUUCUCUGCUUAUUUAUUCAUCCUUACAGUUAAGAUGGGAAGGUUGGAGGCUCUUCAGCUGGGUCUUUAGAACUUAACACCCCCAAUUAGGUGUUCACUAACACAGUAGCAAGGACUAUUGUGCAGAGAAAAGUAACCACAGUCUCUUAGAUGAGUUGGUAGAGUCCCUCAGCACAGAAAGCACUUUUCCACUAAGUAUUUUACAUGAGCCUUAUUCCUUUGAAGCUUCUAUUAUUAGUUUUUUUUCUUUUUAAAAGAUGAUGAAAUGAGACAGGGACAUUAAAUGACUUGGCGGACAUUGUCUAUGGGAGUAGUGCAUGGAGAGCCAGAAUCUAUAACCUAUUCUUGGGACAAUACAGCUACUUCACACCAAAACACCUUAUCUGUCCUUGAAUGAGCUGUCUGCCAUAGCUUGUAAAUGACAGUAACAAAUUCCUCUUAAGGCAGUUUCCUGUUGUCCAAGCAUGAUGCUGCAUAAUGGGCCCAGGAUUGAAUAUUGUCCAGAAAUCAAAGCCCCAAAUGCAUUCAGACAGUUUUUCAAUUGCUUGACACCAACCUUUCCUUGGAUCUGAUCCGGCUGUCAGGUCACCGACAGACAUGCCCCCAAUUCCUAGCUGGUAAAUUAACUACUGCUAUUUGUUUGUGCUUAACUAAUUUAGCAAAAUAUGUGUACUCUACAACUAGCUCAACUAUAUGCUAAACUAGAACAUUUGGGUUUUGCUUUGCAGGUAUAAGUCAGAGAAGAAUUUUUAAAUACCAAGUCUGGGGCUGGGAUUGUAGCUCGGUGGUAGAGUGCUUGCCUAGCAUGUAUGAGGCCCUGGGUUCAAUCCUCACACCACAUAAAGAUAAAUAAAUUAAUUAGAGGUAUUAUGUCAAUCUACAGUGCUCUCACUCUCUCUCUCUCUCUCUCUCUCUCUCUAUAUAUAUAUAUAUAUAUAUAUUUUUUUUUUUUAAAUAAAGUCUGUAAUUACAUACUUAUUCUUUUAUUGAUUUAAAAGAUAAAUGACAGCGGAAUUAAUUUUAAUUCUUAUUACACAUAUACAGCACAACUUUUCAUAUCUCUGGUUGUAUAUAAAGUAUGUUGGCACCAAUUUGUUUCUUCAUACAUGUACCUUGGAUAAUGAUGUCUAUCACAUUCCACCAUCCUUGCUAACCCCCGCCCCCUCCUUUUCCCUCCCACCCCUCUACCUUUUUAGAGUUUUUCAUCAUGACUCUAUUUUUGUGUGCCUCUAAAAUAUAUAGUCAUUGUUUUUAUAAUGGUAAAUUUGAUUUAUUGAGCAAAUCCCCAAAAUAAUACAGUUUUUCCAGCUUAUCAAAAAUAUUAGAUAAAAUUUAGAAUGUGUUUAUAUUUCAUACAGAAAAAAAUGGGAAGUAGAAGAAUAGUUGAUUAGCUUAAUAAAUAGCUAGAAAAGAAUUUUCUCUAGUCAUCAGUUUAAUCAUAUCAUUCUUCUUUCCCAACUAGGGAGUUUUAAUUUUAUGUAUUGAAGCAGUUUGUAUAAGGGAACAAAAAUUGGUAGAGUUAACGCUUUCUCUGAACAGUUUUAUAUACAUAUUUAUCAUCCCAGGAUAAUAAUAAAAGGAAGCACUCAGUCAUUUCACACUGGAGAACUGGGGAUAGAGCAUCUAGCAACCAGUAUGUAUCUUUAAAAUCUGUGCUACCCCCAAUCAUGGUGACUUUGGUCAUUUUUGUAGAGUCUCUUAGUGGGGUAUGUUCUAUCUCCAGCUAACUGGAAUCUGAAAAGAUAAAGGCUUUCUGAAUACUCUUGUGGCAAUAGUUGUUUCCAAUUUAGAAUCACUAUCUAUGCAGUUAUUUGCUGAGGCCUUUCUCUUCAGUCAAAUUAUAUAAGACAUAUGACUUCUCACUUAAUUUUAGAUUUAUUUAUGGGGCCAACUCACAGCAAGAAUUUCAUGCUUUGAAAGUCCUCUUGAAAUGAUUUCUUGUUUUGCUUAAUUUACAGUGUUGCAAUAUGCAGCUAGUUUUUCACAUAAAUACCAUGUUGCCAUGAUAAUCCUUUACAUCUUACUUCACCUUACAGUUGGAAAAUCUAAGUCUUCCAUACAUUGUAUCAUUGUUUCUAUGUUACAUAAUUAAGUCAAUUAAACAUACCUAUGCGUACUUAAAGCAUAGGUUGUUAUCAAAAUUUCCUCACAGACAUAUGGCCCAUCUCAAUGGCAUCAGGGAGGGUGUCUCUUAAAGGUAACCAACCGGUGUUGGCACUUUAUCUUGUCUGGGAAUGAGAUUUGUGUGGGUUGGGCUCCAAAUGUUAUUGAAGUUGCCUAGCUACCACAUUUAGAGAGAGGAGAAACUGAUAGUUUUGACAGCAUUCAGCCAUGUAGCAAUUUACCAGGGCCUCUCUUGACAGCUGGGUCCUAGGGAGUUUUCCAUUUUCAUCUAGCAUGCCUUUAAGUAAGAUUGGCUCCGCUGCAAAAUGCUAAGGUGGAUAGUUCUCUUCUGUUACUCCUGAUUCACAUCAGCGUUUAGUAGUUUUUAGGCUAACAUAUAGACCACAAGUAAAUUUUAAAAGUACAUUUUUUAAAAUUUAUUUUUAUUUUUUUAGCUUUUCUGAUGCUCUGAUGGAGAACUGUCAGAGGGCACAUGAAGCUGGCUCUGAGAGAAUGGAGAUGCUGAGAGGAGCUUCCUGGAGGAACAGAUCGUCAAUGCAGGACACAAUGAAUAUGUUGGCACAGAAAAAAUAAAAUACCUGGAAGGCAGUUGACUCAAGAAAAAGAACCCAGCAUGUUCAAGGGUCUCCAGAAAGCUUAAUAAGGCUGACAGAAAGACAACUGUAGAAAGGGACCAAGAAGGAAGUCUGGUUCAAUUCAUGUAACAUCUUAGAAGAAAUAUUGAAAAUUUUUGACUUCAUCCUGAAGACAAUUGGAAGUUUUUAAAAGACCUUUGUUAGACAGGCUUCAUAACCACAAUUAGGAUUUUAAAGAGAUCCUACCUGCUACUCCUGGGAGAGCAGAUUGGUGACCCAAGAGAGACAGGAGUCCAGUUGGAAGAAUAUCAUAUUUUCAUUGUUCUGUAAUAGACAGGAGAUGAAGCAUGCACUAAAACUCCAGGGAUGGAGAAGGGGGAUUCUAAGAGCAUUUUAGAAGCAGAAUUGACAGGAUGGGGUGCCUGGUGUACGAGGUCAUAAAGGCAGGGAGGGAUCAGGAUGAAUACACAUUCUUGCAAAUGCAUGUAAGGAACAGAGGAGGGGCGAGCAUUAUUUGGGAAAGCAGAGUUUUAGAUGCUUUUGAAUUUGAGAAAUUCAAACAGAGAGAUUCUGAUCUCUAUGUGAGGACUCGUACAUAGAUUUGGGCUUGAGAAAUGCACAGCAAUGGUAAGUAGGAGGAUAUUAAUGAUUGCUUAGAAACAGAGUGUGCAGAGGCCGGAUGGAGCCCCAGAGAACUCCAGCAUUUCACUGCUAUUUGGAGGAGUAUGACCUAGUAAUGAAGAUUAGCUUGAGCAGAGAGAUAGAAAAGAAAAAUCAAAUGUAGAUGUGUCCGUAAUGCCAAAGUAAAUGAUUGUUUCAAGAAAAAAAUACAGACCCUUUCGAAUGGGGCUAUGAGAUAAAAUGAAAUGAGGGUUUUAAAGAUGAUAUUAGCAUUGUUUGCUUUGCAAAGAACGCUUCUUAGUAAUAUUUAAGUUAUCAGUGACUUGGCAAAAGCUGUUAGUACAAUGGUAGGAAGAGAUGGCUAAAAGGAGGAAGGGAAGUGAGAAAUGAUAAAUAUGGAUAAUUGUGGAAUUUGACAGUAGAAAGUAAAACAUUAGUAGAAGAAGAGUGAUGUUUGAAGCUGAACAUGCAUACAUACAUAUACAUACACACACACACACACACACACACCUGUGCACUUAAAAAGAAUAGAUGCACAUAGUUGGCUGAUGAUGGGGUAAAGAGAAAACUAAACAUGCUUAGUUCCUACUGAGGUUUUCAAAAUGAAAGAAAGAAUCAGGUAUUGGAGUGGAAUAUUUUUGUAGGUUUUAAGACUAAGAAUUGAGGCAAAUUUCAUCUGUUGACUUCUGUUUUUCUGUGAAUUCAGGGGAUUACUUGAGGUUUUCUGCUGAGAUAGAGCAAAGAGUUUCAUAAGCAAAAUCUAUUAUUUCCUACAUGUAUCUUUCUAUGUUCCCAUCAACCAAGAGAAUCAAUACUUCUCUUAUAUCCCCAGUUCUUCACGGCCAAAUCUCAAGGCUCCCCCUAUAAGCAGACACCAAUGCUAAGCCCUUGUGAUGAUGGAAGCCAUUAUUAUGUAUUUCUCGCUAAAACCUGAGAUGGUUUUCUGUUAUCAUUGUCCAUGUUCUCUAUCCUGGAUGAGCUCUGAUUUGCACUAGCUGUUCCUGACUCAUGGUUUGGGGCUCAUGCAGAUCUGGGAUGGUUCUAUAUUUGUGUUCAUUGCUCUUGCCUAGUUGCUUUAUCUGGUUAUGAUCAUGAGAAUUAGGUGAGAAAGAACACCUUUCCCUCUUCAUUUCUAUAUAAUAUUAUCCCCGUUUUUUCUUUUAUCUUUUUUUUUCCUUUGCAUCAUCUAAAAAGUAUAAGGAGAAGAAAAUAAACUUGUGUGGGUAGGCCAAUGAGCAAGUAAAUCACUUUGGGUGUCUUAGAAAUUUUCAGUAUAUGGUGAUUCUACCAACAAAUGCCACAAUUGCCUUAAACCUAUCACUCAUAUGAUAAAAAGGAAAAUGUAUGAUAUUUCAAUAGUAUAUCCAAAUGGGGACAUUUCCCUUCCUUUCUAAUAAGUAUACUGUGUUCUAAUAGAAAGUCCAUUAUUUCUCAUUAAUGAGCCAAUUAGAAAAUUAUUGCUGGGUUGCAUAGACAAGAGGAACAGUCCUGACCGAUAAUGGCAGGGAGGAAAACCAGGAAAUAUCCUCUCUUUUUGUUCCUACUGUUAAUCUUAGAAUAGUGUUUGUUGUCCAUUCAAAUUCUUGAGUUUAUAAUCCAUGUUAUUUAGUAAUUUCAAUUACUCACAAUAAGAAACAUAUGAAACGUAUAGCGUAAAGAUUCUUUGUAAUAGAAGAAUUUCAGCUUAGAAAUGUUCACAGAAUGAUAUGUUAGAGAAAUUACAGUUUUAUAACUCCUAAUCAGGCAGAAGAGUGGUCUUUGAGAAUCAUGUUUGCUUAUUUCCAGAAAUAGGGGAUGAAUCAUGAUAUAUGGAGCAAUGUCUACAUAGGAAGUAUAUGGAAUUCUUUCCUUUACAAGAAUUUACAUACUGAAGUAUUAAUUGCAUUAGGAAUGGAUGCUUAAUAUAAAAAAUAAACCAUUAUAUGAAACAGAAAAAAAUAAAGAAAAAAAUUCAAGAAGUGAUAGACUAUUUCAAUAAGGAGAUAGAGAUCCUGAAGAAAAAUGAGUCAGAAAUCUUCAAAAUGAAGGAAUUUAUAAACCAAAUUAAAAAUUCAAUGGAAAGCAUCACCAACAUACUAGACCACUUGACAGAUGGAGAUUCAGGCAAUGAAGACCUUGUCCCUCUCUUGAAAGGUAUUCGCUUCUGAGUCUCAGGACUUGGUUUCAUGGUAAUUGGGUCUCCCUGUGUCUCCAGAGGCUUGGAGGGUAGUGCUUCACCCUGGCUAGGGGCAACACUUUACUCUUCACCCAGCCCAUCUGUCUUUCUGUGACCCUCCUCCUGCUCCUCACCCACCAUGAUUCCUCUGGCUGCACCUGGGCCCUCUCCUCUAUUUUCUUUAGUCCAGGGAAAGGGAGGUGACUG